RNAcentral lists this transfer RNA (66 nucleotides) under Charybdis bimaculata. RNAcentral's name for it is "tRNA-Pro". It matches the Rfam family "tRNA". From Rfam's summary of the family: Transfer RNA (tRNA) molecules are approximately 80 nucleotides in length. Their secondary structure includes four short double-helical elements and three loops (D, anti-codon, and T loops). Lineage: Eukaryota; Metazoa; Arthropoda; Malacostraca; Decapoda; Portunidae. The record is from RNAcentral.
CAGAGAAUAGUUUAAUAUAAAAUAUUAAUUUUGGGAAUUAAAGAUAGAGGUUUUCUUUUUCUCUGA